AUUUGAACCUAGACUGUACCUGGCUCCAGAGUGGACACUUUCAAACAUCUUACUAUAGUAGUAUGACACAAAGCAUAUAACAGCAUUCUUGCCCUUCAGCACCUCCAGGGAUUCUCAACAUUGUCAUAGACCAUUCAGCAUGCAUAUCAUAGAGAAGAAGGAAGUGGAAAAAGCCCCAAGCAAACAGUACCAGAUAUGACUGCAAGAGCCCAAGUUGUCUGCAGAGCCCAAACCCCACAGAGAAUCAUCCACUGUUGCAGAGAGAAUUUCUAAGAUGAAAGAAGAUUUCUUUUUUUCAUGAUGAAGUCUCCAACAGUUAAAACUGGGGCUUCUCCUGCUUCAUGAUGUCCAUGAAUUAUUUUGGAGCUAUCUUGGAGAACUCAUUCAAAGGAUCAAAAGUGUUUGAUAUCUUAUCAGGUGCCGAAAAUCAGAGCAAAUACUGCAGGAAGCGUAAGCAAAAAAACUUGAAACUUGCAGAGAGGAGAAGCUGCUUGAGAGAAAAGCUCACCCAGCCUGUUUUAACAUCUUGAGCUCAUCCCAGAGAUGGUAUUGAGUGUUCUGGAGAAAAGGGAUGCAGAGGGAGCCAUCUUCAAGCACAAGGUGAGAGCAGGGAAAUCUCACAUAUUAAGUUGGUCUAGAGGCAGGCCAAGCUGGAGAGCAGCAGGGACCCCUGCCUAGCAGAGCUCUGGGAUGGGCAAGACUUUUGGGGUAAAGGUCACUGAAGCACCUGGGCAGGAUGGGCGUGGGCUCUCUGCUUUGAGAAGUCAGACUUCAAGGGACUGUGUGGACAGGAAUCUUGAAGAUGUCAGAAGAAGUCAGAGAAAUAAGGACUUGACCCUUUUCUUCAGGGUUCCUCGUCAAUCUUCCAAACACUGUAGGGGAAAAAGGCUGGAAUCAAGUCUGAGAGACCAUGUAUAUCCAACCCUGAAUGACAUGUGCUUUGAGAUAUAUGUAAACUGAUGAGAAGAAAAUACUGUUUUUGGCUCUGAUGUCACUGGCUCUGAGUUCACCAGACAUUUUUUUUUAUAGGACUUUGUUUCCCUUCAAUAUUUCUCCAACAUGCUGCCUCUGUUCAUAUAGAUUUCUGAGUUUUGUGCCUCCAAGAAAAGAUUGAUUGGACUGCUGCAUUCCUUUUGUGAGGAUUAGGACUUUGGGGACCAGGAGCUGAAUUCUUAAGGGCUGUGGUUAUAUUAAUAGGUUUGCACCCCUAUGUGUGAAAAAGUCACUUCCCAGUUGGGGCUAAGAAUAGAUCACCCACUUUUGUAGCUUCCUGAGGUUUCCUCUACCACAUUAUUGAACAUCAGCUCUCCCCUUCUAUAGCAGCUCCACCUGUAAUUGCUUUUCUAUGCUUAGAACAGGUAAUCCAUUUUUAGUUGCACUAUUAAAAACAACACCAUUGAUUAUUUCUUGGUUUGUGUCAUGGUUUCUGAAGCUGUGAUAAUAUAAAGUCACUGUAAGUCUGGAUCUC
Molecule: non-coding RNA, 1468 nt
Organism: Sus scrofa (pig)
Lineage: Eukaryota; Metazoa; Chordata; Mammalia; Artiodactyla; Suidae
Source: RefSeq, a predicted model, not a curated record